RNAcentral lists this long non-coding RNA (328 nucleotides) under Amborella trichopoda. RNAcentral describes it as "long non-coding RNA (ATRI_LNC004734)". Lineage: Eukaryota; Viridiplantae; Streptophyta; Magnoliopsida; Amborellales; Amborellaceae. The record is from RNAcentral.
AAAUGUACUAUUUCUGAGACUUAAAAUCUUUUUAUUUUUCGUGGUCAUACAUCUCGAUGUAUGAGAUGAUCAAUCAAAGGGUUUUUCAACAUUAAAACUACCUUUUCUGAUGGAUUUUUGAGGUGCAUCCAUGACUCUACAUAUAAGGUUGCAACCUUAUAUAAACUUUAUCCAAAUCUUAAAGCAUCAUAAACAAUCGGAGAUUCACUAACAUAAUUGUCAAAAAUUUGAACAAAUACAAAGAACUUUAUUCAUACACAAACUCAAUUAGAUAGAAUUUGUUUUAUACACAAACUCAAUUAGAUACAGCCAAAUGCCUGUAAUCUUC